UUCCAUCCGUGUAGAAAGAUAUCCUGGAUUUGAAUAUUUCAUUCAGUUUAGUGUGUCAGAGUGGAGGAAAGGAAAAGAGAACUUCACAACCCCGCCUAUGCCGGUGCCUCCGCACAGGUGAAACAGGUGGUUUCGUGCCGGGCGAGAGGGGGGUCGUGGGUUUCCGGUUGGCCCCGGAAGUGCUUGUAAAUUUAAACAAAGCUCGAGGGCUCUUGCACAGUCGUGGGGGUUUGGAAUCUCUUCCUGUCGAAGAUAGAGAGGGGGGGGGGAGGUUUCAUAUAGAAACACACCCACCUGCAUUCAUGUACUGGGGUUUUUCCUUUCUAAAAUCGCGAUUUGUUUUAUUUUUUUCAAUUUGGGUGUUUUUACAUCCGUGAGUUUUUAAACGAGAUAAAAAGGGCAGAAACUCUAAUACACGCAGAUUUCAUGCCACGACCGUGAUUGUAAACGAAAAGCAAACAAGUCAACAAUGUAUUAGGAACGCAGCAAACUUCCAGCAAGAAUAAACCAUUUUCUCAUCCUUUGACAAAUGUGA
Lepisosteus oculatus (spotted gar) is the source of this 535-nucleotide non-coding RNA. The record is from RefSeq and is a predicted model, not a curated record. Lineage: Eukaryota; Metazoa; Chordata; Actinopteri; Semionotiformes; Lepisosteidae.